UGGUAGAUGCACCCUGAUUAAUAUCCCCAGCUCUUAACAGGGCUGGGGGUUUCCUUA
This 57-nucleotide small RNA is filed under the name Allocoleopsis franciscana PCC 7113. RNAcentral describes it as "Microcoleus sp. PCC 7113 Nitrogen stress-induced RNA 1". It matches the Rfam family "Nitrogen stress-induced RNA 1". Lineage: Bacteria; Bacillati; Cyanobacteriota; Cyanophyceae; Coleofasciculales; Coleofasciculaceae. The record is from Rfam by way of RNAcentral.